GAGGUUCGGUGGUGGAUCGGGUAAGCGUGCAAUUCUCUCCGGAUUGCGGGAGCUUGCUCCUUGAUUCUCCGGUGGACGGGUGAGCCAUGCCUAGGAAUCUGCCGGGGGGGGGGGGACACCGUUUCGAAUCGACCGCUAUGCCCCCCCACCCCCUGCCGGAGAAACGGGGGGACCUUCGGGCCUUGCUAUCUUUUAUGAGCCUAGGUCGGAUUACCUAGUUGGUGGGGUAAUGGUAAACCAAGGCGACGAUCCGUAACUGGUCUGAGAGGAUGAUCAGUCACACUGGAACUGAGACACGGUCCAGACUCCUACGGGAGGCAGCAGUGGGGAAUAUUGGACAAUGGGCGAAAGCCUGAUCCAGCCAUGCCGCGUGUGUGAAGAAGGUCUUCGGAUUGUAAAGCACUUUAAGUUGGGAGGAAGGGCAGUAAGUUAAUACCUUGCUGUUUUGACGUUACCGACAGAAUAAGCACCGGCUAACUCUGUGCCAGCAGCCGCGGUAAUACAGAGGGUGCAAGCGUUAAUCGGAAUUACUGGGCGUAAAGCGCGCGUAGGUGGUUUGUUAAGUUGGAUGUGAAAGCCCCGGGCUCACCCUGGGAAACUGCAUCCAAAACUGGCAAGCUAGAGUACGGUAGAGGGUGGUGGAAUUUCCUGUGUAGCGGUGAAAUGCGUAGAUAUAGGAAAGGACACCAGUGGCGAAGGCGACCACCUGGACUGAUACUGACACUGAGGUGCGAAAGCGUGGGGAGCAAACAGGAUUAAAUACCCUGUAGUCACCCCGUAACGAUGUCACUAGCCGUUGGAAUCCUUGAAAUUUAGGGGCCACUUACGCAUUAAUUGACGCCUGGGGAGUACGGCGCAAGUUAAACUCAAUUGAUUGCCGGGGCCCGCACAACGGGGGAACAGUGGGUUAAUUC
Molecule: ribosomal RNA, 914 nt
Filed under: Pseudomonas putida
Lineage: Bacteria; Pseudomonadati; Pseudomonadota; Gammaproteobacteria; Pseudomonadales; Pseudomonadaceae
Description: bacterial SSU rRNA
Rfam family: Bacterial small subunit ribosomal RNA
Source: RNAcentral